This is a long non-coding RNA of Anolis carolinensis (green anole), 472 nucleotides long. RefSeq lists it as uncharacterized. The record is from RefSeq and is a predicted model, not a curated record. Lineage: Eukaryota; Metazoa; Chordata; Lepidosauria; Squamata; Anolidae. The transcript is spliced from 3 exons.
CAGGGGAUUGAGUUCAUGUAGAUGAGGUCACAGAGAAACAAAGAGAAGACUACUUCACCAUGACCAAUGAUAAGCCUGAGUCUUCCUGAACUCUUUGUGUCUCCUGCCCUAUUCUGAACAAUGACCUAAAUGCCUUACAAAUUGAUUCCUUGAGGAAGGGGUGGUGGAUCAGAUAACAUUUUGAGAUGCUACUUACUGCCAAAAUGAAGUUACAAAUAUCUGAUCGAGGGAAGAAUCCCCGAGAAAGUCACAGACCUAUUCAACAGGUGGACAGCUGCCAAGAUGAUUUCAAAACUCCAAAUCACGGUCCAUCUUGAAGCUCAUGUUAGCUCAGUAAAGAUUAUUCUCUUGAGAUGUCUUAUGGGGAGAAACAGAUGCCAGGAGAAAACCCAGAAUAUUUCUGGCCCUUUGCUGUGGUGAGCGUACAAGAAAGGAAGAGACAGCUUCGCGUUUUCUCAAUUUAUGAGAGCAC